Molecule: long non-coding RNA, 2830 nt
Filed under: Olea europaea (common olive)
Lineage: Eukaryota; Viridiplantae; Streptophyta; Magnoliopsida; Lamiales; Oleaceae
Description: long non-coding RNA (OEUR_LNC014209)
Source: RNAcentral
CACAAGCAGAUUUUUAUUUAUAGAAAAUUACAAUGAUAGACUCCUUCAAAGAUAGGAGGUCAAAGUAAACAAGAUAACUCUACAUAAUUAAGCAAGUUGUCGAGCAUUUGAAUCUAUUAUAUCAUGAUUUGUACAAGGAUAAGCUGUUGAGUGAACUUUAUCAUCAUCUUCUUGAACAGCAAUUUGGAACUAAAAAAAAAAAACCUGUCAGCCGUGCGUCCCUUGGUGAAGAUAUCAGCAACCUGUUCUAUACUAGAAACAUGACUAAUAAAUAUAUCGUCAUUUAGCACCUUUUCAUGAACAAAAUGGUAGUCCACUUUAAUAUGUUUAGUUCUAGCAUGAAAAAUAGAAUUCUUAACUAGUGCAAGAGCAUUUUCAUUAUCACACUAGACAAAUGGAAGAAGAGGAAAAUGUAACAUCCAAAUCACGAAGAACCUCACGUAACCAAUAAAGUUUAGCAGUAACAACAGCAAGAGACAUGUAUUUAGCUUCAGCAUUAGAUUUGGAAACCACGAGCUAUUUCUUGGCAGACCAAGAAAUAAGAUUAGAACCAAGAAACACUCCAAAAUCACUAUUAGAUUGGCGAUAAUUAAGGUCAAAGCUCCAAUCUGAGUUACGAUACGCUAAUAAGUUAUUAUGCCCAAGACGAUAAAUAAGACCAUGAGAUAUUGUUAUUUAGAUAACGUAGAGCACACUUAACUGCAGUCCAAUGAGAUGAAGUUUGUGCAUGCAUAUAUUGACACAAUUGGUUAACAAAGUAGGCAAUCUUAGGACGAGUCAAAAUGACAUAUUGAAGUGCACCCACCAUUUGGCGAUUUUCAGUUUGAUUAAGUAACAAAUCAUCAUCAUGUUUUGAGAUUUUAAAACUUGAGGUACAAGAAGCAUUAUGUGGCUUCAUAUUAGCCAUAUUAGUGAUGAAGGCCAUCAGUGUUCCAAGUUGCUUCAUGCUAAGAAAAUAAGAAAAGACACCAAGAUCCUUCAUAUCAAAAUCAAUCUUCAACAUACCAAUGAUCUUAAGAUGAUGGUAGAAUUGUUACCGAUAAUAAUAAUGUAGUCAAAAUAGAUCAGCACAAAAAUCUGAGUAUCACAAGAGUGGAACACAAAUAAAGAUGGAUUCGAGUCAGAACAAUGAAAUCCAAUAUCAAUCAAAGCACUAGAAAGACAGUGAAACCAAGCUCGAGGGUCUUGUUUCAACCCAUAGAUUAACUUGUGAAAACGGUACACCCAAUUAGGAUGACAAAAUCUUCAAAUCCUUUAGGCUACUCCAUAUAAACAUCUUCAGUCAAAAACCAUGUACAAAUGCAUUUGACACAUCAAGUUGCCUGACAUGCCAAUAAAAAGAAACUGCCAAUGCAAACACCAAGAACACAUAGAAGAUUUCACAACAGGACUAGAUGUUUCAUGAUAGUCGAUACCAUUAUUUUGAUUAGAACCUUUAGCAACAAGUCUUGCCUUAAAGCUUUCAAUAGAAUCAUCUAGCUUUUGCUUAAUCUUAAAUACCCACUCAUUGUAUACAAAAUCGAGAUUGUCAAGCCAAGGGCAGAGAGUCCGUGUUUUAUUCUCAACCAAGAUAGGGAAUUUCCAUAGCAUGAACCAAUUCAAGCUUAGAUGCCUCUUGGUGGAAAUUAUGUUGUUCAAGUGGAAGAGAAGUAGCAUGAUGGGAGAAGAGGGGUUAGCAAGUGGAAUAAUAAGUGUGGCAGUUACCAAAUCUUUUUGGUUUGAGAUUAUUAGUCAUGGACCUUGUGAUGAUAGUACGUGCAAGGGGAAUAGAAGGUGAGGGUUGAGGUGCAGAAGUCAUAGGAUAAGAAGAUAGAUCCAAAGGAAGAGAGAUGGGGAUGUGAAGGGUGUUGGUGUGAGCUGUUAUAAAUUAAAAUAGCAAAUACAAUCAAUGUAAAUUCCCCUUAUCAAGGGGUCAACCACAAUCCUUGGCACCAAUUUUAUAUAGUCUAAAUAAGUAUGCAUAUUCCUCCUAUUUAUAUGUAUUUUAUUCAAUGUAAUAAAAUAUGGUGGAAUAUAGAAAACUGAUUACCAUUGAAACAUUGUAUCAAAGCCAGGUUGAAAACUAUGCCAUGGAAUCCCUUUUUCAAAAAUCCACAACCUUCUUCUUAUAAAACUAUCCUCAAACACAUGGCCGACAAAGAAGCUAUCACCAACAUGGGUGAUCCUUCGUGCAAUCCCAAAGCCUUAUUCCAAGAAUUCCCACAAAAAAAUGGCAGAAGCUUUAUACAAAACUAAAAAUCCAAUCCCAAACACUGAAAACUUAAUCCCAAUUAGGAUCAAGCUUGAUUGUUCGGCCUAUACCUUGUUGUCCCAAGUUAUGGAGAUAUACAUCUCCGAAAAAGAUAAACUGGGCUAUCUAAAUGGCGACUCUCCACCGCCUUCACAAACUGAUCCCACCUUUUGAAAAUGACGAAUCGAAAAUGCCAUUGUUAAAGGUUGAUCAAUUAACUCUAUGAACCCAGCCCUUAUUGGAAAUUUCAUUCGAUUCUCCACUACAAAAGUAGUUUGGGAUGCUAUUGCCACGACCUUCUUCAAUAGAAGUGAUGCUUCUAAAGUUUAUGAACUUUGACAAUGAGUUAAUCAGCUGAGUCAAUCAGGUAGCUCGUUGGAGAAAUAUUGCACGAAUUUGCAAGGGCUGUGGCACGAGAUUGACUUCCGCUGCCCCAAUCCAAUGGAAUGUGCCACUGAUAUUCAAUGCUACAAUAAGAUGCUCCUAAAAGAUCGAGUUUGUACCUUCUUGCAUAGACUCGAUGACCACCUGGAUGAGACAUUUCCAUCGAACAAGCCUACGUCCAUGUAGGGCAGCGAGGCACUUAGGCAAGCAAUCAUG